This 117-nucleotide ribosomal RNA is filed under the name Paramormyrops kingsleyae. The record is from RNAcentral. Lineage: Eukaryota; Metazoa; Chordata; Actinopteri; Osteoglossiformes; Mormyridae.
GUCAGCAGCAAUUCUGCCUGCGGUUCAGACUAGGUAAUCCACCUGAAGCUAAGCAGGUUUGGGCCUGGCCAGUAUUUGGAUGGGAGACCAACUAAGCAAGUUGGGUUGCUGCUGGAA